GGAAUUUUGGGCAAUGGGCGAAAGCCUGACCCAGCAACGCCGCGUGAAGGAUGAAGUAUUUCGGUAUGUAAACUUCGUAAGAAUGGGAAGAAUAAAUGACGGAACCAUUUGUACGGUCCGGCUAACUACGUGCCAGCAGCCGCGGUAAUACGUAGGGUCCGAGCGUUAUCCGGAAUCAUUGGGCGUAAAGAGCUCGUAGGCGGUUCAGCAAGUCGGCUGUGAAAGUCCGAGGCUCAACCUCGGAAUUGCAGUCGAUACUGCUGUGACUCGAGUCCGGUAGAGGAGAAUGGAAUUCCCGGUGUAGCGGUGAAAUGCGCAGAUAUCGGGAGGAACACCAGUAGCGAAGGCGGUUCUCUGGGCCGGCACUGACGCUGAGGAGCGAAAGCGUGGGGAGCAAAC
Molecule: ribosomal RNA, 399 nt
Filed under: uncultured bacterium
Lineage: Bacteria
Description: bacterial SSU rRNA
Rfam family: Bacterial small subunit ribosomal RNA
Source: RNAcentral